CAAGAACUUUCAGUCACUUUUUUCGCUUUAUUCAACUGCCAUCUUUGUUUACACAGACUAGCCGUGAUGAAAAAUUUUAGUAUCACCAUCAUUGCACUAGCCGGGACUCUCAUCCAGUGCAUAAUGCAGCAUGAUUCAAGGUGACUCUGCGGCAAGCAAAAAACAUAAACGGCAGUCAUCCACCUACAUCCGGAAGAUUUCGUCAUGGAUAGAAGUGGUCUGAUGCGGUGGCGAUUGGCAGUUCGAACAGCUGCGCAUACUAAAGUGAACUCAAGAA
Molecule: long non-coding RNA, 277 nt
Organism: Armigeres subalbatus
Lineage: Eukaryota; Metazoa; Arthropoda; Insecta; Diptera; Culicidae
Exons: 3
Source: RefSeq, a predicted model, not a curated record